Molecule: ribosomal RNA, 1383 nt
Filed under: uncultured bacterium
Lineage: Bacteria
Description: bacterial SSU rRNA
Rfam family: Bacterial small subunit ribosomal RNA
Source: RNAcentral
GAGUUUGAUCAUGGCUCAGGACGAUCGCUGACGGCGUGCUUAACACAUGCAAGUCGAACGAUGAAGCCUAGCUUGCUAGGUGGAUUAGUGGCGAACGGGUGAGUAAUACGUGAGUGACCUACCUUUGACUCUGGGAUAAGCCUGGGAAACUGGGUCUAAUACCGGAUACGACCAAUCUCCGCAUGGGGUGUUGGUGGAAAGCGUUAUGGAGUGGUUUUAGAUGGGCUCACGGCCUAUCAGCUUGUUGGUGAGGUAAUGGCUUACCAAGGCGACGACGGGUAGCCGGCCUGAGAGGGUGACCGGCCACACUGGGACUGAGACACGGCCCAGACUCCUACGGGAGGCAGCAGUGGGGAAUAUUGCACAAUGGGCGCAAGCCUGAUGCAGCGACGCCGCGUGAGGGAUGACGGCCUUCGGGUUGUAAACCUCUGUUAGCAUCGAAGAAGCGAAAGUGACGGUAGGUGCAGAGAAAGCGCCGGCUAACUACGUGCCAGCAGCCGCGGUAAUACGUAGGGCGCGAGCGUUGUCCGGAUUAUNGGGCGUAAAGAGCUUGUAGGCGGUUGGUCGCGUCUGCUGUGAAAGGCUGGGGCUUAACCCUGGUUUUGCAGUGGGUACGGGCUAACUAGAGUGCAGUAGGGGAGACUGGAAUUCCUGGUGUAGCGGUGGAAUGCGCAGAUAUCAGGAGGAACACCGAUGGCGAAGGCAGGUCUCUGGGCUGUAACUGACGCUGAGAAGCGAAAGCAUGGGGAGCGAACAGGAUUAGAUACCCUGGUAGUCCAUGCCGUAAACGUUGGGCACUAGGUGUAGGGGACAUUCCACGUUUUCCGCGCCGUAGCUAACGCAUUAAGUGCCCCGCCUGGGGAGUACGGCCGCAAGGCUAAAACUCAAAGAAAUUGACGGGGGCCCGCACAAGCGGCGGAGCAUGCGGAUUAAUUCGAUGCAACGCGAAGAACCUUACCAAGGCUUGACAUAUACUGGACUGCGUCAGAGAUGGCGUUUCCCUUCGGGGCUGGUAUACAGGUGGUGCAUGGUUGUCGUCAGCUCGUGUCGUGAGAUGUUGGGUUAAGUCCCGCAACGAGCGCAACCCUCGUUCUAUGUUGCCAGCACGUGAUGGUGGGGACUCAUAGGAGACUGCCGGGGUCAACUCGGAGGAAGGUGGGGAUGACGUCAAAUCAUCAUGCCCCUUAUGUCUUGGGCUUCACGCAUGCUACAAUGGCCGGUACAGAGGGUUGCGAUACUGUGAGGUGGAGCUAAUCCCUAAAAGCCGGUCUCAGUUCGGAUUGGGGUCUGCAACUCGACCCCAUGAAGUCGGAGUCGCUAGUAAUCGCAGAUCAGCAACGCUGCGGUGAAUACGUUCCCGGGCCCUUGCACACACCGCCCGUC